Cinara cedri is the source of this 207-nucleotide non-coding RNA. The record is from the annotation of a GenBank genome assembly. NCBI's taxonomy places the organism in Eukaryota, Metazoa, Arthropoda, Insecta, Hemiptera, Aphididae.
ACGGAUAUAUUUUUCGAUUUGGGCUUUUUUCAAUUCCCUACAAAACGAACUUUGUUUCACAAAAUUAACGCCACCACACCAACACUCGGGUCUCAAUUAUCGCGGGUUGUAAUCGUGCUGUAUAAACUAUUAUUCGCUCAAAACACUACAGUGCUGCCAUUAAUCCGCAGACGGGAAACCGAAAUUAAUCGUUUAAUUAAAACGUCC